CUCACUUAGCCCUCGGCCGCCGCGCCGGGUUCUGCCUCCUGCAACGAAACGACCUGUGUGUCAGCCUCAUCCUCCCCGGAGAGGAAGUUAGAAUGUCCGCGCCUGGCCGGGCCACGUGGCUCGACGUGGCUGAUGCCUGAGGAACCCCCUUGAAGGCCGAAGCCUGAGAGCGGAAGUGACGUCAGCGGGCGCCGGCUCCGCCGCGUAGUGUCAAGUGCCUUCCUCAUGGUGCACCUCUCCCCGCCUAGGGUGGAUUCUGCGUGCGGGGUCUCCCAGUGGUGGCAGCUGGGUGGCAGCGGACCCCCAUAAAGGGACCAGGCCGGCUUCGCUGGCGUGCCUAGGGCCGCGCAUCCUUCCCGGCUCUCGGGUCCGAGAGGCGCCGGGGGGCGCUGGGUCAGGAAGUGUGGCCGGGGCGCGCCCUCCGGUGCUUUCUUCCGCGGCGCUCCUCUUUUCCAAAGCCUGCGAAGCAGUCUUUCCGAAAUCGUUUCCCAGAGGGAAGAGAAUUUCCGCGAUUUAGUAACGUUGGCUCCAGACUCAGUGCCCACUCUCCUGACGGAUUGGCAUUCUGGCGAGUUCAGGCUUUCUUCUGUCUAGGGGCCCAGUCUGCCUUCUUCAAGAAAAGAGUAAGACAGAAAGCAUGGUGGCAGACUGUCUGACAAAUUGUUAUCAGGUAUGCAGACACCAUGUCUCACAAAAUGACCAGCUUGUCUUUACAGGUAGGCACAUUUUUAGACAGAUAUAUCUUCAAAGUU
This 752-nucleotide long non-coding RNA is filed under the name Ictidomys tridecemlineatus (thirteen-lined ground squirrel). Its description in RNAcentral is "lncRNA (ENSSTOG00000032286.1)". The record is from RNAcentral. Lineage: Eukaryota; Metazoa; Chordata; Mammalia; Rodentia; Sciuridae.